CCUACGGGAGGCAGCAGUGAGGAAUAUUGGUCAAUGGGCGAGAGCCUGAACCAGCCAAGUCGCGUGAAGGAUGACGGCCCUACGGGUUGUAAACUUCUUUUGUCAGGGAGCAAUUGGGUCCACGCGUGGGCUUAGCGAGAGUACCUGAAGAAAAAGCAUCGGCUAACUCCGUGCCAGCAGCCGCGGUAAUACGGAGGAUGCGAGCGUUAUCCGGAUUUAUUGGGUUUAAAGGGUGCGUAGGCGGAAUAUCAAGUCAGCGGUAAAAAUUCGGGGCUCAACCCCGUCGUGCCGUUGAAACUGAUGUUCUGGAGUGGGCGAGAAGUAGGCGGAAUGCGUGGUGUAGCGGUGAAAUGCAUAGAUAUCACGCAGAACUCCGAUUGCGAAGGCAGCAUACCGGCGCCCAACUGACGCUGAAGCACGAAAGCGUGGGUAUCGAACAGGAUUAGAUACCCGGGUAGUC
This 460-nucleotide ribosomal RNA is filed under the name uncultured bacterium. RNAcentral describes it as "partial 16S ribosomal RNA". It matches the Rfam family "Bacterial small subunit ribosomal RNA", at positions 338 to 795 of the family's 1533-position model. The record is from RNAcentral.